GUGCUUGCUUUGGCAGCAUGUAUAAUAAAAUUGGAACAAUACAGACAAGAUUAGCAUGGCUCUUGUGCAAGGGUGAUCGGCAGAUUUGUAAAAUGACCCAUGUUUUU
This is a small nuclear RNA of Sciurus vulgaris (Eurasian red squirrel), 107 nucleotides long. The record is from Ensembl. Lineage: Eukaryota; Metazoa; Chordata; Mammalia; Rodentia; Sciuridae.